This 449-nucleotide ribosomal RNA is filed under the name uncultured bacterium. RNAcentral's name for it is "partial 16S ribosomal RNA". It matches the Rfam family "Bacterial small subunit ribosomal RNA", at positions 29 to 523 of the family's 1533-position model. The record is from RNAcentral.
AACGAACGCUGGCGGCAUGCCUAACACAUGCAAGUCGAACGAGAUCUUCGGGUCUAGUGGCGCACGGGUGCGUAACGCGUGGGAAUCUGCCCUUUGGUUCGGAAUAACAGUUGGAAACGACUGCUAAUGCCGGAUGAUGACGAAAGUCCAAAGAUUUAUCGCCAGAGGAUGAGCCCGCGUAGGAUUAGCUAGUUGGUGUGGUAAAGGCGCACCAAGGCGACGAUCCUUAGCUGGUCUGAGAGGAUGAUCAGCCACACUGGGACUGAGACACGGCCCAGACUACUACGGGAGGCAGCAGUGGGGAAUAUUGGACAAUGGGCGAAAGCCUGAUCCAGCAAUGCCGCGUGAGUGAUGAAGGCCUUAGGGUUGUAAAGCUCUUUUACCCGGGAUGAUAAUGACAGUACCGGGAGAAUAAGCUCCGGCUAACUCCGUGCCAGCAGCCGCGGUAA